GGCGCAACAACAUCAAAACGUCAGUGCCUGGACAGAGCAAGGGCUUAUUUCUCAUUACUGCUAUACUCUCACUUGGGUCAAUUUCACAAUGGGAAAAACAUCUCUGCUCCACAGAGUCAUUCAGAGACCCAGGCUCCUUCCAGUGGGUGGCUUCACCAUCCCUUGAGGCCGCAAACUCCUCUACUGGAUCCCAUGCAUCUGGAUGCCAGGCAAAGGAGAGGAGAAAAUGUGAAGAGAGGAUUGUAUGGUGGGUCAGCCCUAAAGGAGGGGGCUUCUGCCAUAUUUCAUUGGGUAGAAGCUUAGUUCUCUGCUGCUCUACUCCUCCAACUGCAAGAGAGCUAGGAACAGUGAUCUAGUGACGCAGCCUAGAAGAAGAAGAAGAGAAACUCAUACAUCACUUAUCCUUCAGAUCCAAACUCCAGCAACAGCUGCCCGCCUUCCCCAUUAAGGUGAAGAGUUGAAAAUAUUUCUGCCUCAUCAAACAGCCUCAAUUCCAGAGAGACACCCAGACAGAACAUCUGCCAUUGGUUGAUGUCAUCACUACCACCUAAAAGAACAAUUUUCUACAGUGAUGGAGGUUCUGUGAUGUCAUUGGGAUUACAAAAGCUGGCAAGGAAAUCUGCUAUCAGCACUUAUCACCGGAAAUUACAAAGGAAAUUAAUUGUAAGCUUUCUAAGAAAGGACUGUUCAGUGAAACUAAACUUUUUUUUUUUUUCUUAAUUUAUUAUACAGCGAAAGUCUUUCCUCUCUCUACAGAGAGAAUGCCCUACAACUUCAGGAGACUAAAUAAACAGGGUUGGUGUAAGAGAUAGAUUGUCCUACUUUGUGAGUGCUUGAUUGGCUAAGU
Molecule: long non-coding RNA, 847 nt
Organism: Balaenoptera acutorostrata (minke whale)
Lineage: Eukaryota; Metazoa; Chordata; Mammalia; Artiodactyla; Balaenopteridae
Exons: 4
Source: RefSeq, a predicted model, not a curated record